UCCUUAGUAGCUCAGUGGUAGAGCAAUCGGCUGUUAACCGUUUUGUCGUAGGUUCGAUUCCUACCUGGGGAG
RNAcentral lists this transfer RNA (72 nucleotides) under Eutreptiella sp. CCMP389. RNAcentral describes it as "tRNA-Asn". It matches the Rfam family "tRNA". Rfam says of the family: Transfer RNA (tRNA) molecules are approximately 80 nucleotides in length. Their secondary structure includes four short double-helical elements and three loops (D, anti-codon, and T loops). Lineage: Eukaryota; Euglenozoa; Euglenophyceae; Eutreptiales; Eutreptiaceae. The record is from RNAcentral.